UAGUCCACGCCCUAAACGAUGUACACUAGUUGUUGCGAUGCUAGACAUUGCAGUAAUGCAGUUAACACAUUAAGUGUACCGCCUGGGGAGUACGGUCGCAAGAUUAAAACUCAAAGGAAUAGACGGGGACCCGCACAAGCGGUGGAGCAUGUGGUUUAAUUCGACGAUACGCGAAGAACCUUACCUGGACUUGACAUAGAAAGAAUUUCGCAGAGAUGUAAAAGUGCUAGCUUGCUAGAACUUUCAUACAGGUGCUGCACGGCUGUCGUCAGCUCGUGUCGUGAGAUGUUGGGUUAAGUCCCGCAACGAGCGCAACCCUCGUCAUUAGUUGCUAACAGUUAGGCUGAGAACUCUAAUGAGACUGCCUGGGUAACCAGGAGGAAGGUGAGGACGACGUCAAGUCAUCAUGGCCCUUACGUCCAGGGCUACACACGUGCUACAAUGGGGUAUACAAAGAGCCGCGAUACCGUGAGGUGGAGCAAAUCUCAAAAAUAUCU
This 497-nucleotide ribosomal RNA is filed under the name uncultured bacterium. Its description in RNAcentral is "bacterial SSU rRNA". It matches the Rfam family "Bacterial small subunit ribosomal RNA", at positions 791 to 1286 of the family's 1533-position model. The record is from RNAcentral.